This 73-nucleotide transfer RNA is filed under the name Candidatus Omnitrophota bacterium. Its description in RNAcentral is "tRNA-Val". It matches the Rfam family "tRNA". Rfam says of the family: Transfer RNA (tRNA) molecules are approximately 80 nucleotides in length. Their secondary structure includes four short double-helical elements and three loops (D, anti-codon, and T loops). The record is from RNAcentral. Lineage: Bacteria; Pseudomonadati; Candidatus Omnitrophota.
GGGCGCUUAGCUCAAUGGUUAGAGCAUCUGCUUUACAGGCAGGGGGUUAGGGGUUCAAAUCCUCUAGCGCCCA